AUACGGAGGGUGCAAGCGUUACUCGGUAUCACUGGGCGUAAAGCGCGCGCAGGCGGUCUUUUAAGUUGGAUGUGAAAGCCUACGGCUCAACCGUAGAACUGCAUCCAAAACUAUUAGACUAGAGUGUGGGAGAGGAAGAUGGAAUUAGUUGUGUAGGGGUAAAAUCCGUAGAGAUAACUAGGAAUACCAAAAGCGAAGGCAAUCUUCUGGAACACUACUGACGCUGAGGCGCGAAAGCGUGGGGAGCAAACAGGAUUAGAAACCCUAGUAGUCC
This 274-nucleotide ribosomal RNA is filed under the name uncultured bacterium. RNAcentral describes it as "partial 16S ribosomal RNA". It matches the Rfam family "Bacterial small subunit ribosomal RNA", at positions 523 to 796 of the family's 1533-position model. The record is from RNAcentral.